UUUUCGGUAGGUGAACCUGCGGAAGGAUCAUUACCGAGUGCGGGUCCCUCGAGGACCUAACCUCCCACCCUUGUCUCUUGUAUACCCUGUUGCUUUGGCGGGCCCACCGGGGGGGUCCCCGGUCGCCGAGGGGCCACUGCGCCCCUGGGCCCGUGCCCGCCAGAGCGCCCGUGAACCCUAAUGAAGAUGGACUGUCUGAGCAUGAUUGAGAAUAAUCAAAACUUUCAACAAUGGAUCUCUUGGUUCCGGCAUCGAUGAAGAACGCAGCGAAAUGCGAUAAGUAAUGUGAAUUGCAGAAUUCCGUGAAUCAUCGAAUCUUUGAACGCACAUUGCGCCCCCUGGCAUUCCGGGGGGCAUGCCUGUCCGAGCGUCAUUUCUGCCCUCAAGCACGGCUUGUGUGUUGGGUGUGGUCUCUCCCCUGUGACCGGGGGGGAGACCUGCCUGAAAGGCAGUGGCGACGCCCGCCUAGGUCCUCGAGCGUAUGGGGCUCUGUCACCCGCUCGGGAAGGGUCUACGGGCGUUGGUCAUCCACGAUCGUUUUUCCACGGUGACCUCGGAUCAGGUAGGAGUCCCAAUCCC
Molecule: ribosomal RNA, 579 nt
Filed under: Penicillium sp. KAUH22
Lineage: Eukaryota; Fungi; Ascomycota; Eurotiomycetes; Eurotiales; Aspergillaceae
Description: eukaryotic LSU rRNA
Rfam family: 5.8S ribosomal RNA (bases 220-373)
Source: RNAcentral